AUUGAACGCUGGCGGCAGGCCUAACACAUGCAAGUCGAACGGUAGCACAGAGAGCUUGCUCUUGGGUGACGAGUGGCGGACGGGUGAGUAAUGUCUGGGAAACUGCCCGAUGGAGGGGGAUAACUACUGGAAACGGUAGCUAAUACCGCAUAACGUUGCAAGACCAAAGUGGGGGACCUUCGGGCCUCAUGCCAUCAGAUGUGCCCAGAUGGGAUUAGCUAGUAGGUGGGGUAACGGCGCACCUAGGCGACGAUCCCUAGCUGGUCUGAGAGGCUGACCAGCCACACUGGAACUGAGACACGGUCCAGACUCCUACGGGAGGCAGCAGUGGGGAAUAUUGCACAAUGGGCGCAAGCCUGAUGCAGCCAUGCCGCGUGUAUGAAGAAGGCCUUCGGGUUGUAAAGUACUUUCAGCGGGGAGGAAGGGAGUAAAGUCAAUACCUUUGCUCAUUGACGUUACCCGCAGAAGAAGCACCGGCUAACUCCGUGCCAGCAGCCGCCGCUG
This 504-nucleotide ribosomal RNA is filed under the name uncultured bacterium. RNAcentral describes it as "partial 16S ribosomal RNA". It matches the Rfam family "Bacterial small subunit ribosomal RNA", at positions 30 to 523 of the family's 1533-position model. The record is from RNAcentral.